GAGGGUAUAGCUCAAAGUGGUAGAGCACAUCCUUAGCAUGCACGAGGUCCUGGGUUCAAUUCCCAGUACCUCCU
This 74-nucleotide transfer RNA is filed under the name Camelus bactrianus (Bactrian camel). It matches the Rfam family "tRNA". Rfam says of the family: Transfer RNA (tRNA) molecules are approximately 80 nucleotides in length. Their secondary structure includes four short double-helical elements and three loops (D, anti-codon, and T loops). Lineage: Eukaryota; Metazoa; Chordata; Mammalia; Artiodactyla; Camelidae. RNAcentral also lists the same sequence under 2 other names. The record is from Rfam by way of RNAcentral.